UUGGGGGUUGGUUGAUGAGUAUAACUGGUUUUGGGGGGCUGGGUGCGUUUGCGGGGUUGCUCGGCGUCUCCCCCUGGGAAUCAGGCAUUUCCUGAUGUCUGUCCGGGCAUUUGAAGCUUGCCCGGGCGGCCGCGUCCUGCGAGUGACUGGACAGAGCGUAGCCAAGAGCCAGCCUGGCCGUGGGGCAUGGGCUCACGCUUUUGGAGGAGUUUCCUCUGCUACAAAGUUGUAAUUGUAUUUAUUCCUACUUGUGUCAGGGCACGGCGGUGAGUGAACACAGCUUCCACGUGGUGGAAAUGGACAAACAAAAAGUAUUUAAAAACCUGCCGAGGAAUUAAGAGCAAUUGUUUUCUCCCUUGGGGGCUCGAUCCACACGGACACACGCAGGCAUCGCAGCGGUCCAGGGAUCGGUCCUGGAAACGUGCCCAAACCUCAUCCUGUUGAAGACACGGGAUCGACUCGCUUGGGGAAACCUCUGCGUACGUGCCGUCGCGUUUGUAGGAACCGACCUGACCUGUUGUUUUUGAGGAUUUUGGGGGCAGCAGGAGAAAUUGAGACAGGAGAGUUUUGGAAUGAGCAAAUGGAGAACUUCAACAUCUGUAUCUUUCCAACUACCUUAUUUGUAAGUAGUAGACAUUUCCUGAUACAUAUUUGUAUUUGUUCUUUGCAUCUGGGAGCAGAUUCCAAUCUGAUCAGGGCCACGUUGUGCCCACUGUUGAGCAUCUUGAAAUAUUAAACCGUGCUGUUACCCUGAAGGGUGGUUAUGCAUGUGGCAGUGACAGUGAACCUAAAGAAGUUUAUAAAGGUUAAAUGAAGACUCAUGGAGAGAGUCACGGAGCCAGUAAUGGAGCUACCUGUCUGGGAGUAAUCUGAAAGAAUAAAUCGAUCCACUUUACUAAGCAUUGUUCUGGGUUUGCCUGACAAAUCUUCUUUCAAAGGGAAUGUUUGCAAUUAUUUGACAGUUCCACAAUGUCUGUCCAAGAGAGGAAAAAAAUAGGAGGUUCAUAACAAGCACCGGGGUCUGCCUCCCACAGAAGCUAUUGUUCUGAACAAGUCAGUUGAUAUGUAUUAAUGUGUGCUGGCCCUCUAGAGGAAAUACUUCUAGAAGCACAGUUGUAGAAUACGUAAAACCCCUAAGUGAAUACAAAAUAAAAUCACAAUUUGAAUUGUAAAAAUGUAUUCAUUUAAAUAAAACACAUUCAGUGCUUUUUUCAUCUCA
This is a long non-coding RNA of Alligator mississippiensis (American alligator), 1219 nucleotides long. RefSeq lists it as uncharacterized. NCBI's taxonomy places the organism in Eukaryota, Metazoa, Chordata, Crocodylia, Alligatoridae. The record is from RefSeq and is a predicted model, not a curated record. The transcript has 2 exons.